CUGGGGAUUUAGCUCAGUGGCGUAAGCGCCUGCCUUGCAAGCAGGCAGUUGUGAGUUCGAUCUCCAGGACCAAUUAAAAAAAAAAUUCAAGAAGGCUGGGACAUGGCUUGGUAGCUCCAGAUCCAUGUGCCUGAUGGUCAAACUGAGAUUUCAGACCAACACUGCUCACACGGCUCCAGGUUUCUGCCCCAGGAUCUUUGCACUGGCUGCUCCUGCUCCUCUUGCGUUUCCAUCCAGAAUCAAAGACUUCAGAGACGGAAGGAAAACAGGAAGUUGAGUUGAGCUAGCUCCUUGGACAGAGGCAAAUGACACCUGGAGAAACCGGCUUAAUAAAGACAGCGAGUAGACCUUGGGGGACCAGGUCCUGUCUCAGGGUCUCGCCACCCCGUCACGCUUCCUGCCACACCAGCUUGCAUACUUACCUCUUGGGGUUCUGCUCAUCUCUGCAGCUUCGUAUACACUCAGGGUCAAAGCUCUGGCUGCUUCUGACACUUGCAGCUGUGGGAACUUCACUGUCCGUGUUGAAACCCAGAGGCAUGUCCUGCGGCUUACUUCUGCGGUGCAGGGCUAACGCAACUGCCUGAAUUCUUCUUCUCCCUGCGCACCCUUGAUGGUCCACAUGGUUAAUUUUCCAGUGUCCACCAAGACGCUCAAGAAAGGAACUUUGCAAGCACUUUGCAACAGCGACCUAAUUCUGAUGCAAAAUGCAGUAACAAAGCCUUCUGCAGCUGGUCCUACAUCAUCCUGUAUAGCUGCUAAAGGUGCUGAGGACCUCACCUUCCUUCAGUCACCUUGAUGCCACCACCACGUGCCUCCCUGCCUCUGGUUAGAGCUGAGGAGUCCUCAGAGCCUUUGCCCUAAGCUCCGACCCUCUGUCUGGAACCUUGAGGCACAGCUGAAGCUGUACCCACAGAUAGAUAGGAAUACAGGGGUCCUGAAGGGGCCGAGGAAGCUGCCAGUCCUCACCGUCAGUGUCCUUUCAGGCCAUGCUCUCAGGCCAGCCAGGUGAUAUGGUCCCACAGCUGGAGGCUCUGCAGGUUUGGGGGCCCUUCAUGUCAGCCCAGGCUGCAGGAACACUAGGAGACAAGGCGUCAGUGAACGGACACCCUGGGAGGCUCCUCCGCUCUCUCCUCAUGCUCCCAGCUCUGUGCUGCCUCCUGUGUGUGUACCAAGUGGCUGGAGAGAUGGCAGUGCUCCCCUCUUUGAGUUUCCUGUAGCAAAUUUCCAGAAGCCUCACGAUCUGAAACAGCACCGUCCGGCAGCCAGAAGGCUGAAAUCAAGGCAUCGGCUGGGUCAGUCUCCCUCAGAAGGCCCCUGCAGGACCCCUCCUGUCCUUUCCCAGCUUCUGUGGCCUCGGUAACACCGGGGCAAUCUCAUCUUCUGGUUCCAAACGUCCGGUAUGAGUUUGUGUUCUCUAAAAUUGAAGAAUGAAUUGUAGGAACAACAGAAAUUAAGAGCAGAAUAUAUUUAUUGAGAGAAAGAAAGCUUCUGUCAGAGACAGACAGAAGGAGUCCUGAGUGGCUUGCCAGGGCCCCUGCUUUUUUUAGGGUUUUAUAGAGCAAAGCAAUGAGAUGAUGCAGGUCCAUGGCGGGGGGGGAAAAAGGGGAAAUCACAAGGUGGACACGAGGUGAGACAGAACUAUGAUCAACCAAUAAGAUUACGUGGGUAAUUGCUCAGGUAAAAUCGAUUAAAUCAGGAUCAAAUGGGGAAGCUGCGCAGCGAGCGCCCAUGAAUACAGAACAGGGCUCUCCCUGUAGGGGGUUAGCGGCUCUUCGGGCUCCUCAAGGUGAUCAAUACCUGUCUCGAAUAUCAAUCCCUGAUGUCUAGCCUUAGGAAGUGUGUGGGUGCAUCUGUUUGAUCUUUGGUCUUGAGGUGGGCCCACAGCUGAGGUGUCUGUCUCCCCCACAGGUUACCUGAUCUUUCGCACUGGCUCUUUUGAGGACCCAGCCCUGGCUCACUGCCUAGAAUAUAUUUAUCUAUCUUGGCUGCCUAAUAUUCUCUUCUAUCUUUUGUUUUCUUUUCAGCGCUGAGGACUGAGCCCAGGGUCUUUGUGCUGAGCUACAUCCCUAGCUCUUUUUAUUUAUUAUUAUUUAUGUGGAGAAAGGGUCUUGCUAGCUAAGCCACUGAGUCCCCGAUAGAUUCCAUCCCCCCUCACUCUCACUGCCUGUGGCCGCUCUGGAAACCCCUGCUUCUGCUCUCAGAUCCACGCUGCCCCAUACACCCAGCUCAGCCUCCCCGCCGAGGAAAGGGAAGCAUUAAAUUCUCAGCCCUCUUUAAAGAUCAGGGCCCAGAGAGGGCUGCACAUUGACAUCCCUUUACUGGCUGGCAGUGACCUCAGGUCAUGGAUGGUAGGGAGGGCGGGGUUCUCCUCUGGUUUUCCUCCUUCCCUUGCCCCCUUUUCCCUUUCUCCCCUAGAUUCUUGCAGCAUGAUCAGCUCCAUUGGGCAAUUCCAGAACCGGAGCACAGGGCCAGGCUUCUGCUCCGAGGGAAGGCGGAGCGGUAGGGCAGUGAAGUCCCAAGCCAGCUGCUGUUUGUCACUGGGCAUCCCAGGUCCAGCAUGUGCCUCGUCCGUGUGAAGCACCUCUAACGUGAAAGAAUUAAUUGCUCCUAUUCUUGCAAUGCACUUGGUUUGGAAGUCACCAUGAAAUACUUUCCCUCCAGAAUAUUUCAUGCUAAAAAAAUUGCCAAGAGGCCAUUUUGCUUGUGUAUUUACUUAUUUGCAGGAUGGGGAUCAGAUCCAACUCAUGCCAGGCUGGUGUGCUAUCACUAAGCUGUGACCCCACCUCUAUUCCAGCCCCCGUAUUUGUGCCAGAUGUACUAAGACUUACACUUACCUCUCUAAUGUGCAGAACCCAGCUGCCACCUUGAACAAUGCCAGCUUUCUGCAGUCUGAUUUCUGAACCUGAGUUUGAAAUCCCAUUCUGCUAACACAGAAGCACCUGCGCUCUGCAAAAUGGUCAGCCAAGGAAACCAUUCUGUCCAGUCUGUCCCAGGCUCCCACCCCAUGAAGUCUGUGGUGGCCCCCUUGGGAGCUGGGCUGUUCUUGGUCACCUCUGUGGUAGCCAGCUCAAGUACUAACUAGGAACUGGGCUGUCUUUGCAGGCUGGGGUUCAUGUUUCCGGGAAUCCUGCUGAGUGAGAGGUUCUGGGCCAGAACCACAGCCAGGCUCUGGACAACGCCCUGGGAGAAGAGAAUUCCCCAGCCAUUUAGAAAGAAGUCAGGGCACUGGGCCUGCCAGCCCACUUGGCUCAGGAUUCCUGGACUGGCUGUGCUUGGUUCCGUGGCUGUCACGUAACUGGUGAUCUGGGUCAAGCUGGUACCAAGUCUCUCCCAGGCCUGCCCCGUGGGGACAUGUCUGGCGAGCAAUGGCCUGAGGCAGAGAAGCUGUGUAACGGGAACCUGCUCCAUGCCACUCCAUGCCACUCCAUGCCAAUCCUGACCACAGAAAGUCUCUCUGUGAAGUUUAAACCCCUCUGCCUGUAAGAAAGUCAAGCGCCUCUCUCCUAUGCAGCUGCUCACUAGCCAGGGGUGCAAGAGGCACAGACUCAGUGACCGGCUAAGCUGCAUUUUCUCAUCAGCGAUGGGAGGGGAUGUGUCAGAGGUCCCCAGAUCAGUUGGAUUCAGUUCAACAGUCUCCAUCCAGGACUGAGAGAUUCGUGGGCCACGGGAGAGCAGGUUCCAGGAGCAGGGUCUGGAGCCCUGGGGGUGGGAGGGGGGAGGCAGAGAGAGGACCCAGAGGUUCAGGCAGGACCACGUAGCUCAGAGGGCCGGGAAAACCGGCUUUUGUCUGUGAGGUGUGAUUCAAAAAUACAUUAAAUGUUUAAACUUUGAAAACGUACUGCAGUAAGAUACACGCUGCCAUUAACCUCCCUCGGAACACCCUCCCCACCCAAACAUGCUUUUCCCAUCGUCCUUGCCAUUUUCUGAAGCUCUUCUGGAAGUCCUCUCUCAUGAGUGUCUUUAGUUGCACUCUUGUGACUACCUUGAUGUCCUGAAUUGAUUCAAAACCUUUACUUUUUGUGGUCACUUUGACUUUGGAGAAGAUCGGGUGAACACGGUGGUGAGGACACUUGGUGGCAUUUUUAUGAGCCUGGCAUUCUGGUGGGUGGCACUCGGCAGCAGCACGCACCACGUUCUUGUCACAGCUUGCUCUGUGUCAUCGCCUCUAACGUCUUUCCCACUCCUUCCUGAACUAGUCCUGACCUCCCGGCUGCUCUCUGUCCCCUGGCUGCAUUUAUUCAAAAGCGUGCCUGCUGGACUGCCCUGCUCCUGCUGCCCCUCUCUCCCUGCUCAGACCUGGCACAAACCCUGCAUCCCUCCCCCAGCAAGACCCCAUUCACUCUUCCAUGUCGCCACUUUCAGCAGUGCCGAGACACCUCCUCAGCCUCACACAGUCCCCCAACUGUACCCCAAGUGCAGACCCAGCAUAGCCAACAAAGACGAGACCACCAAAAGGGGCACGGCCUCCUCCCUGGCUCCUCCACAGAUAGAGGAGGAGGAUGGUUGGGAGUGAUUUGGGUUCGCUCAACACAGCAGCAAAUGAUAUUAAAAGGGAGGAAGAAAUAAGCUAAAAUAGAGCUAAAGGUAGAGAUUAGACCUGUUUUUCCCCAGUUCUGGGGAUCAAAUUCAGGGCCUGGUGCAUGGCGGGCUCACAUUCCGUCACUGAACUAUACCCCCAUCCUCUGCGUCUCUAUUCUGAAGGACAGGAGGAGAAUAAGAACCUUCCCCUCUGCAGGUGACUUGUCCUGUGUCCCCUCCGAUGACGUCACUGCAAAGAUGAGGCGGGGCAUCAGUGUGUGGCGUGGAGUGAAUGGUUAAGGCACCGUCCUUCCUGAACCAUCUCUAUUCAGCUUUGCCUCGGCAUCCCUGAGCCUGUCAGGCUGUGGGAGCGUCCAGGGUGAGGCUAAAGAUUCCCGGAGCCAACAGACUUGAGAACUCAGGGCUGCCGUCUGCCAGCCUGGUGACCCCUGCUUUGGAAUUUGGGCUUGGGCUUCCUCACCUGUACGGUGACCACAGAGCUAUCACCUUUCAGGGUGCUGAUGACCCCAAUAAGAAAAGAGAUGGCAGGAGUUCUACAUGGGGCUGUGCAUGCAGGGGCAUCGGCAGGUCAGGGGUGCCCAAGCCCUGGCCCACAGCCCGGUACCAGUUCUCGCACUGUUAGGUACCACACCAAGCAGCAGGACUCGAGCAGCUUGGGGAUGAGGGGUCAAACCUUCACUUGUAUUUAGGGUCAUGCCUGAGCUUGGCUCCUGGCAGAUCAGCAGCGGCUUCAGAUUGUCACCGGAGCACGGACCCUACUGUGGGCUGCAUGUGUGAGGGAUCUGGGUCAUGAGGUCUCUGAUCUUCCUCACACCGCUAACCCCCACGGUGGAAAAAUUAUUGCCCAUGAAACUGAUGCCUGAUACCAAAAAGCUUGGUGACAGCUGCCACAGGUGAGGCUGGCUGGGGGUGGUGGGAGUGUCCUCAGGGGAGCUUGGCUCCUGAGGUCCCAAAGAAAGAGGAGGAGGCCCUGGAAGCUGGCGCAGUCCCCGCAGAAGACACCACCAGAGUCACAGGUACCCCAUGCAGGGUGGUGGAGAGGAGGUGAGCGCCAACAUCCUAGGGGGCACCUGCACCCCUAGCCCCCUCCCCAGGAGCAGGUGUUGCUUCCUUCUAGCGUGACACCCCCCAGGGGCAGUCUCCUUGACCUGUGAGCAGUCCUCAGUCUGGUCACCAAUUCCACCAUCGACUAAUGGCUGACCUAACAUCUUUCAGUGAAUGACCUUGUUGGCAAUUCGAAUAUCUUUCAGUGUCAGAAAUAAUAAGCAGCAUCACAAGAUGAAGUAGAGUUUAAGCUGAGUGCAGAUGAAUGGGGCUUUAAUAUUCCGAAUUUAAUCACCCGCUUCUGUGGCACUGCGGGCAACAUGACGUAGCAGCUAAUUAUUUUUUUAAAGCACGAAGAGGAACAUUCCUCACCAAUUUCAUAUUUAAGAUGAAUGAAGGGAAGGCGGUGAUUAAUGAUAGCAUAAAUCUCCCAAAUAGGCAAUGAUCAGUUAAAAAGAUGGCAAGAUGGGUUUUUUCUUUCCUGUAGUGAUUUCUUCAAGAGUGGCAUGGGUCACAACUGUCAGCGUCUUUCAUUCUGCAAAGGGGACAUACGCAAGUUUUGGGGGACACAUUGGCUGGACAGACCCUCUCUUCAUACUGCGAAGCCACGUCCAGCAAGUCUGGUGGCUUGCCUGGCGGCCACAUGGAUACAAAUAAGCACAGUGUCCUUCCCAAGUUGUUCACCAAUGAGGACAGAGGUGUUUUACAGCUGCCAUUGUUGACUGGGGACACACAGACAGUGGUGAAAGACCCUGGCAUUUAUGUCUGAAGAAGAGGUCUAUUCAAAUGCUGGCAGUGUCCUUUACCGAGUGACCUUGAAACUCAAUUUUCUCAUCUUUUAAAUGGGUAUAAUAAUGCCCCUUGGACAGUAUGGGCUCCGUAUGAAUGAACGCACCAUAGCUCCUGCCACAUCUGUGCCCCCAACUGUUUCUCUUGGCACUGGAAUCGGUGUCAGACCUUAUGCAAGGACCCACGUCCCAGGGGUGAGAGAUGUUCCUGAGGAAGUGGGCAGUGGAACAGGACCAGAGAGGGCCCCAAAGGGCAGAGGCCACCCAAGGAGAUGGCACUGGGCCAAGCCCACUGGAACCGGCUCAGACUGGGGCAAACUGGAGGCGAUGCUCGCACCUAAGAACUCGGGACAAGGACUCGGGAUGGGGAUUAAAACUCGCUGUCAGUCUCAGAGUAACGGGAAGCUGGUUCCCAGCAGCUUUCUGGGUAAGCCAUCUGGCAGAGUGAUCAGGUGUUAUCCACGGAUGCCAAAAGGCUGGGAGGGUACCUGAGAACUUGGAGCUGGGAGCAUUUGUCAUAACAAGCAGAGUCAGCUGUCUGUGCUGUGUUUCCGGUCACACUGUUCCCGCGCCCAUCCAUCCAGUCAUCCACGCUUUGCAUGAUGUGGGCCAAGGCCUGCUCAGGACCGAGGCUCCACACUGAACACAAAUCAUAAAAGUCCCUCUCUGACAGAGGUUACAGGCUCCAGGAGGAAUGGGGCAGCGGCGACAAUGAAACGCAUCAGAGGGAGGUCUCUUAGGAGGUGACUGUUUUCGUGCAGGGGAAUAAAGAAGGGGACCAGAGUGGGCCAGGACCAGGGCAGCAGCUUGUGCUCCUUGGGCUCCAAUCUGCAGGUCUAGGAAGCCCGUGGCCAGUAAAGACAGCGACUUCCUCUCUGGUGAACGGGAAGCUCUUGGAGGGGGAGGCAGAGUGAGAGUGUGAGACACAAAGGAACUGAGAGGGAACCCAGGUCUAGCUGGAGAGUGCAGAGCUGGGUUGCUCUUAGCUGAGACAGGCCAUUUUCUUCUCCUGGUGGGAAGGAAGGGCAGGCAGCUGGAAAGCAGGGAGGCUGACCUGGACAGUCUCCUGCAAGCGAGUUUGGGUGAAGAUAUCAAGAUGCCUAAAAAGUUUUUAAUAUCAUUCUUCCUGUCACAUCCAGCUUCCCAAAGUCGGUGUUGUGUCACCUUCUUCUCCCCCACCUUGCCAGGGGGAACCGAGGUGCUGGUUGCUUUGCUGCUUGACCCUAGGAAUUGUACACGGACACUGUCUUGUCUUUCAUUCCUGUGCUCAGGGAGGUCAUGCAAAGGCCUCUGCGUGAUUCUGUUCAGGCCCUGCGCUCCCAAGCGGAUACUGGAGGCCAAAUUUUCAAUCUGUGCCGAGAGAAAAGGGAACAUUUGCCUUUGGACUUCUGCUUUUGCCUCAAGCGAAAGUUGGAGGAGAGAAGCAUUGUGCAGACGCAAAGGUCCAGCGGAUUUCUUUCUCUCCCUCUCUUGCCUGUGUCCUCUCUGCCUAAGACUGGCCGUGGGAAAGCAGGUCCUCCAUCCCUGCACCAUCUCCUGUCAGCAUCGGGCCUUGGAGCCCUCACGGGGAGAGGGCAGCCUCAUGCCCUGCUAUUUCCUUCCAUGUGUCUUAGGUUGACAGCUCAUAAGGGCUGGUCCCUGAGCUCUGAGCUCUUUUGGUUUUUUAUUUUUUAAACCAUUUCAAUCGUAGGGAAAUUGAAUCCAUGUGUGUUUGGAUUAAUUGCUUAACUCCUAAAAAUGUUUUGUAAGAGAAACUUGAGUCCAAAAGGCUUUUUAGGUUGCUUCCCACCCGUUUCAUAGGGCCCGAUCAAGGGAAGUAACAGCCAGCUUGGACCAGCUCUGUGCUUGCAGCUGGACAGGGCUAAGGAGGACUCAGUGACCCCAGCGGAUAUGCGGUUCAGGUCCAGCGGAGAGGAGCCUGUGAAGCCUGCCCUGGGGUUCAGGAAACCUCCUGGGCUCUGCCGGAUUUCUGGGCUUUAGAGAAAGAGGACAUCUCCUGUGAUCUUGGGUCGAAUUUGAGACUUUCUUUUUCCUAAAUCUCCUUCCCAGAAUUUGACUGCUUCUCUGUUGUUUUAAAUAACAGUCACCUCAAAGGGUGACUUUCUUGCAUGGCCUGUGGGGGAUCAUGUCCUUUCAUCUAGACACUGUUCUAGUGUCUUGGCCAGUGGGUGACCCUCCACUGUCGAGAGCCAAGGCCAUUUGAUGGCUGGGGACACAAUGCCCAGCUUAAAGGCCCUCAUUCUGUCUGACCGUCUGUCCUCCUUCUGUCUGACCUUCUGCACCUUCCCCAGCCCUGCUGGGCAUUGGUACAGUCCCUGAUGGCCUCCUGUGGGCCAGCCUUAGUGCUUAGCUCUCACUGGUGACUGCAGAGGUGAGUACACUUGUGUGGCCAGCGGGACACUCCUGGGCAGAGCAAGGGGCUCUCUGCUCCCUAAAUUCCCUGAGCUGAUAAAUUACCGGCUUGGGGUGCAGAUGAGUACAGGGGUGGUGACAAUGUGUACAGUGAAGUUGGUGAUGCCCUCGGGGUUCUGCACGCUGACCCAAGGCUUUGAUCCCAAUGCUUUCGUGACCAAUUUCUCCUGAUGGCUUGGCACCAAUGCCACUUGGCACCAGUGCCACUCCGCUACCUUUCUCCUCUGCACCUUGACCAGGACUUCUGUCUAGCAACAGAGGAAGGAUUCUUUAGAGGCUGAAAUAUGUAUGCUCACCAGCAGGCAAGCACGAAGCAAGGAGCUUUCUCUGCCCCUCACAUCAGUGGUGUAAUGUCUGGGUUUCCGUGCUGGCUUCUGUAACACAACACAGACACUCAUCACCAGGAGUCAGCACAGAUGCCACAGGGCACCCAGCUGGGGUACAGUCAGGAAGCAGGCGAGGGCCCCGGGAAGACCUGCAGCCACGCUGUGUGCAGUGCUGAGGCUGGGGCAUGUUGUAACCUAUAUAAAAAAAAAAACCCUCAUAAGUCUCCCCAGACACAAGAGAAAGAUCAAAGGUAACUUUAAGAGCAGAACAGGAUGUUUACCUAAUCUAAACUUGCUUAUUAGCCCACCUGAACCUUGUUCUUCCCAAGAAAUGUAACCACCGCAUUCCUGUUCUGUAGUGUGCUGCAAACCCCACCCCCCUGCAUUGUGAGACCAGCAGCUGUUUGUGAUUUACAGGAUAAAACCCCCGCCCUUUAGCUGUUAGGCGCACAGUCUUCCAUAUUGGCUACGGAGGCUGCAUCGCCAGGCCUGUGCUUUAAUAAAUAAUUUUUUUCUUUCCAAA
Cavia porcellus (domestic guinea pig) is the source of this 9632-nucleotide long non-coding RNA. RefSeq lists it as uncharacterized. NCBI's taxonomy places the organism in Eukaryota, Metazoa, Chordata, Mammalia, Rodentia, Caviidae. The transcript is spliced from 5 exons. The record is from RefSeq and is a predicted model, not a curated record.